This is a long non-coding RNA of Cyprinus carpio (common carp), 572 nucleotides long. NCBI's taxonomy places the organism in Eukaryota, Metazoa, Chordata, Actinopteri, Cypriniformes, Cyprinidae. The record is from Ensembl.
AUGAAACCUACAAUGAACCCGCCAGACACCAAAUGUGUCUUGCUCCGGACAAUAUUUGUGGCUGCAUUUUGUACCCUAUGUGUAGUAACAUGCCCAGAGGACCAUUUCCAACUGCAAGAAUUGCUGUGCUGCUUGAACUGCCCAGAAGGUAUGUAUGUUGCCCGGAAUUGCUCUGGAGGACCCACAAACUACAUUGGUGUGCUAUGUAAUCCAUGCCGCAGAUGUGAAGAACUUGGAGAGAUAACUGUUUCCCAGUGCAUGCAGUUUUCAGACACACAGUGUGACAGGAAAUUGCGACGGAUAACCUUGUAUGGUUCCUCUUCUGUGAUAGCCGCUAUUUUCAUCCUGACUGUGAUUGUGGCAGCCUGCUUCUUUUGCAGAAUCCGUAAAUCAGGUGAAUCUAAUGAAAGCUCCGCAGGAGAACCAUUCCACAUUUCCAUAUAAAAGAUACAGAGACAGUCUGAAGAAAAUCUUAAACAGAGGAAAAUGUCCAGCUUUAAGAAUUGUAUAUUAUCAUUCAGUGAUUCAAUAACAUUAGAAAUACUGCAAUAAACAGUUCUAAAAAGAGGACA